ACCGGGCGCAGUGGCGCAUGCCUGUAGUCCCAGCUACUUGGGAGGCUGAGACUGGAAGAUUGCUUGAGCCCAGGGGUUCUGGGCUGUAGUGCACUAUGCUGAUCUGGUGUCCGCACUAAGUUUGGCAUCAAUAUGGUGAUCUCCUGGGGGCGGGGGACCACCAGGUUACCUAAGGAGGGGUGAACCGGCCCAGGUUGGAAACAGAGCAGGUCAAAACUCCCGUGCUGAUCAGUAGUGGGACCGCGCCUGUGAAUAGCCACUGCACUCCAGCCUAGGCAACAUAGCGAGAUCCUGUCUCUU
Molecule: unclassified non-coding RNA, 300 nt
Organism: Callithrix jacchus (white-tufted-ear marmoset)
Lineage: Eukaryota; Metazoa; Chordata; Mammalia; Primates; Cebidae
Rfam family: Metazoan signal recognition particle RNA
About the family: The signal recognition particle (SRP) is a universally conserved ribonucleoprotein. It is involved in the co-translational targeting of proteins to membranes.
Source: Ensembl